Molecule: ribosomal RNA, 476 nt
Filed under: uncultured bacterium
Lineage: Bacteria
Description: bacterial SSU rRNA
Rfam family: Bacterial small subunit ribosomal RNA
Source: RNAcentral
AGAGUUUGAUCCUGGCUCAGAUUGAACGCUGGCGGCAUGCUUUACACAUGCAAGUCGAACGGCAGCACGGGGGCAACCCUGGUGGCGAGUGGCGAACGGGUGAGUAAUGUAUCGGAACAUGUCCGGAAGUGGGGGAUAACGUAGCGAAAGUUACGCUAAUACCGCAUAUGCCCUGAGGGGGAAUGGAGGGGAUCGUAAGACCUUUCGCUUUCGGAGUGGCCGAUAUCAGAUUAGCUUGUUGGUGAGGUAAAGGCUCACCAAGGCGACGAUCUGUAGCUGGUCUGAGAGGACGACCAGCCACACUGGGACUGAGACACGGCCCAGACUCCUACGGGAGGCAGCAGUGGGGAAUUUUGGACAAUGGGGGCAACCCUGAUCCAGCCAUGCCGCGUGAGUGAAGAAGGCCUUCGGGUUGUAAAGCUCUUUCAGAUGGAAAGAAAUCGUGCAGAUUAAUACUCUGUAUGGAUGACGGUACC